RNAcentral lists this ribosomal RNA (515 nucleotides) under Bradyrhizobium japonicum. RNAcentral describes it as "partial 16S ribosomal RNA". It matches the Rfam family "Bacterial small subunit ribosomal RNA", at positions 960 to 1469 of the family's 1533-position model. Lineage: Bacteria; Pseudomonadati; Pseudomonadota; Alphaproteobacteria; Hyphomicrobiales; Nitrobacteraceae. The record is from RNAcentral.
CGCGCAGAACCUUACCAGCCCUUGACAUGUCCAGGACCGGUCGCAGAGAUGUGACCCUCUYUUYGGAGCCUGGAACACAGGUGSUGCAUGGCUGUYGUCAGCUCGUKUCGUGAGAUGUUGGGUUAAGUCCCGCAACGAGCGCAACCCCCGUCCUUAGUUGCUACCAUUUAGUUGAGCACUCUAAGGAGACUGCCGGUGAUAAGCCGCGAGGAAGGUGGGGAUGACGUCAAGUCCUCAUGGCCCUUACGGGCUGGGCUACACACGUGCUACAAUGGCGGUGACAAUGGGAUGCUAAGGGGCGACCCUUYGCAAAUCUCAAAAAGCCGUCUCAGUUYGGAUUGGGCUCUGCAACUCGAGCCCAUGAAGUUGGAAUCGCUAGUAAUYGUGGAUCAGCACGCCACGGUGAAUACGUUCCCGGGCCUUGUACACACCGCCCGUCACACCAUGGGAGUUGGCUUUACCUGAAGACGGUGCGCUAACCAGCAAUGGAGGCAGCCGGCCACGUAGKUACGSSU